GGAGAAAUGGCUGAGUGGUCGAAAGCACUAGAUUGCUAAUCUAGCGUACAAUUAUUUGUACCCAGGGUUCGAAUCCCUGUUUCUCCU
This 87-nucleotide transfer RNA is filed under the name Kryptoperidinium foliaceum. RNAcentral describes it as "tRNA-Ser". It matches the Rfam family "tRNA". From Rfam's summary of the family: Transfer RNA (tRNA) molecules are approximately 80 nucleotides in length. Their secondary structure includes four short double-helical elements and three loops (D, anti-codon, and T loops). RNAcentral also lists the same sequence under 1 other name. The record is from RNAcentral. Lineage: Eukaryota; Dinophyceae; Peridiniales; Kryptoperidiniaceae.